Molecule: transfer RNA, 61 nt
Filed under: Brachyuropus grewingkii
Lineage: Eukaryota; Metazoa; Arthropoda; Malacostraca; Amphipoda; Acanthogammaridae
Description: tRNA-Thr
Source: RNAcentral
GCCUUUGUAGUUUAUAAAAAAACCUUAGUCUUGUAAACUAAAAUAGAGCUGUCCAAAGGCU